GCCCCGCCGGGCUCCCACCACCCUUCCGUGCCUCAUCGCGGCCGGCGUGGCGCAGUUCCCGGUGGCAGGGGGCGGCGCGGCAGCGGGGAGCGCCCUCAGCUCCCGCGGGCUCGGACGCUGCCCGGCCCGCCGGGUUUUCCUAGAGUUUAGUUUAUCAUCUAAAGACUGAAUAUGGACCCUGAAAGUGAAAUAAAGAAGCAAAUAAACCCCUUUUAUUGCAAUAUUUGCAAAAUCUGGUGUUCUUCUGCAUUAAACUUGCAAACUCAUUUCCUUGGAACAAAACACAGGACGGUUGAAGAAGCAUUGAAAACUCAUGGCAUGCUUAAAGCAGAAAAUUGCUUAGGAAAGAAAUUGAAAACACCUGUGAAACUUCCUGAUUUUGAUUUUUACUUUUGUUUUCUUUUUGUUAAAACAGAAAGUUGCUUAGGGAAGAAAGUGAAAACAACUGCAAAACUUCCUGAUUUUGUGCCACUUGAGCCAGAGAAGUUUCAUGGACAGACAUUGGAAGACCAACUUAAUACAUGUAAAGAUUCAGAACCUGCACUUGGACUUAAUUACAUAAUAGAAUACCGAACAAAAGACAAUGUUCCUUUUCUCUAUGAAUGUCAGCUCUGUUACUGUAAAACAGGACUAAGUAACAUGUUCAUGCAUGUUUGUGGUUCCAAGCACAGACUGGCAUACUUGAGACAGCAUUAUCCAGAGAUAGCACAAUCUGAUGAAGUUAAGGGUAAAGGCUCUGAACUAAACAAAAGAGUUAGGCAAAUUGGAUUAACAAUUGAGAAGAAAGAAGGAAGAAAACAAAUACAGGUUGUUAUAGGUGUUCCAGUGAAAAGAAAAUGGCAAGAAUCUCUCAGUGCAGAGGACAGCCCUUCAAAGGCUAAAGUUCAGCACGCAGAUGUGCCCCUUAUUAAUGCAGAAAAAACAGAUAAUAAAGAUGGGAAACUCACAGACCCUGUGCAAGAUGAAAAUAAUGUUCAGGAGGAGAAUGAAGAAAGGCAGAAAGAACAGCCAAAACCAGAUGAAAAAGUUGAAUCUAAUAAUGCUAUUGAAAGAAGCAAAGGCAGCAACUCAGAAUGGUGUGAGACCAAUGAACAAUUAGAGGAAGAAAACAAGGAAGCUCAGCAAGAAUUUACAGCAGAUCCUGAAGAAUUCACUAGUCAAGAAGAACUGUUGGGUUAUUUGCAAAGUUUUGAGAUACUGAAUGAAGAUGAUGCUUCAUUUAUCUUGAAAGUUACACAGACUCUCACAAAUGCACUGGUGGAAUAUCGUCAACAGGCUGCAUCAAGCAAAGACCACUUAGGUGCUGGAUAUAAUGGAGAAACAGAACUAGAAUAUUCCACAGAACAACCUGGCCCAACUUCAGCAGAUAUUAAUGACUCUGACACUGACCACUCAAGCAGCCAAUCAGCUAACCAGUUCUUACCAGCCAACGAAGAUGAACCCCAGAACUUUUCAACUGGCUCUUUGGAAACAGCAUAUGAGAACAACAUCACGACUGAGUUUUUGAACAGUGUAAGAAACAUGAAUGCUGAGGAAGUUACUGACACCCUACACAAAAUAGCAGCAUCAAAUCCAGCUUUCAGAGGAAUUGAUAUACCGAAAGUUGUAAGGAUCCUGACUGAAAGUGGAACUCUGAGGGGACCAAGCAAUGGCAGCACACAGUGACACGGUACUUAAAGAGAUAAUGUAGCAAUGUUUACUUUCUGUAAGUUUGUUGUUUUACUUCAUUUGACCUCAGUGGAGUUAUUUUGUUAUGUUUAACUUUUGCACAGUGUUUUUUAAAUUAAAUUAAUAACUUGGUUGUAAUAUUCUUGUUAUGUAUUUUUCCAUUUAGCUGAAACUUCUGUAUUGUGGAAAGGUUGUAAAGCUCAUGCUCAUUCUUUCUGUGUUACAACAGGUAACUUGCUUUCUUCAGUAUUAUUAAAUACUGUACAUUGACAGUCUGAACCUUUCUUAUUGUUGGUUCUUUUACAAAGAAUUAUCAGCAGAAUAAACUACUGCACUCAGCAGUACAAACUCAUCCUACAAGAAAUGUUUGGAAGUUAUUCCCUGUGGCUGUUAGGACUGACUAAAAAGCCUUUGUAAUCAAAAACCAUUUCCAGUAUAAGGGUUAUGAACAGGUCUCCACAUUUUACUAAAAAGUCAGUGCUGUCAGUCUCAUGCUGAAAUAGAAGUGCCUGGAUUAUAGCUGAUUUAGGGAGCAUAGAAGCUCAGCAAAGUUAGGUAUGUUUUGCAAAUUUAGAGAUAUUUCCCAACAGGAAAUAAAAGAAGGCUCUGGCUAAGAGGCACCGAUGUAGUGGCAAAAGUAUCUUUUGUAUUUUAUCCUGCCAGCAUGAAAAUGAAAUGAAUGCUGGCUUACACUGUCCUUCAGGCUCUUUUAAAAUGAACUUUUUUCCAGCUAAAGUAGUACUGGUCCUGACUGAAUGUACAUGUCUAUAUAUUAAUGACUUCUACUUUUGUAGGAAGGUGAAAAAAUGUUGUGAAUGGUUAUUAAUUAAUUUGCUUGGGAAAAAAUAUUUUUUUAAAAUGAAGCUGUGUGAUUAAAAUUCACUUCCUGCUUGUGAUGCUGGGUAGCAUUCAGUGGUUCUAAUUAAAGCUCUUCAGCUUGCAGCCAAAUACUGGUAUAAUUUAGACAUGCUGGGGCCAGAUGGCAAAUGAACUUUUUAGUGUUAACUUACACUUUUUUUUUUGAGAUCUGGAUGGAAUUUGAGAAUCUUGAUCCUGUGAUGGUUUCACAUCUUCAUACCAUGGAGUGCAAGAUGCAGUAAAACUAAGGAGGAGCAUGCUGAAAAAGGAAGAGACCUCUAGGUCUGUAGUACACUGACAUAAAAUGGUGGAAUGGUGUGCUGCAGAGUGCUGCUGUACCUCUCAAAGAUAGCUGAGAAACCUGGACUGGGCAAGAGUCAGCAAGUGUACGCUUCUGGAGAUGUUUUCAAAGAACACAGUCCAACGUAGUCCAUUCAGCUGUACAAUUAUUUUUAUUUUUUCCUUUCUUACCUGGUGCAAAUAGAGGCUGAAGAAGCAUUGUAUUAUUUUCUUCUUGUAUCUGCCUCUGUUUUGUGAUGGCUUGGUGUAUUCUUAUACUAAUGGAAAAUUGUAUAUUUGUUCCAAAAUAGAUUUUAAUGUUUUACUUGUGCCAGUACUGCAAAGUAAGGAAGAAAAAGACAUUAUCUUUACUGAUAAUAUUUAAACAGUGCUGUUGGCUGUAUUAUACAUUUUUGGUUUCUCACAUUAACAGCAAGGCAGACUUCUGAGGUAACUAGAAAAUUAAUAAAAGUUAAGCAAUAACAAAAAUUAA
This is an RNA transcript of Pyrgilauda ruficollis (rufous-necked snowfinch), 3298 nucleotides long. RefSeq lists it as uncharacterized. The transcript is spliced from 19 exons. NCBI's taxonomy places the organism in Eukaryota, Metazoa, Chordata, Aves, Passeriformes, Passeridae. The record is from RefSeq and is a predicted model, not a curated record.